RNAcentral lists this ribosomal RNA (253 nucleotides) under uncultured bacterium. RNAcentral's name for it is "partial 16S ribosomal RNA". It matches the Rfam family "Bacterial small subunit ribosomal RNA", at positions 524 to 776 of the family's 1533-position model. The record is from RNAcentral.
UACAGAGGGUGCGAGCGUUGUCCGGAAUCACUGGGCGUAAAGGGCGCGUAGGCGGCUUGGCAAGCGUGCGGUGAAAGCUCAGGGCCCAACCCUGAGUCUGCCGUGCGAACUGCCGGGCUUGAGCACAGUAGAGGCAGAUGGAAUUCCGGGUGUAGCGGUGGAAUGCGUAGAGAUCCGGAAGAACACCGGUGGCGAAGGCGGUCUGCUGGGCUGUGUCUGACGCUGAGGCGCGAAAGCGUGGGGAGCAAACAGG